This 452-nucleotide ribosomal RNA is filed under the name uncultured organism. RNAcentral's name for it is "partial 16S ribosomal RNA". It matches the Rfam family "Bacterial small subunit ribosomal RNA", at positions 332 to 800 of the family's 1533-position model. The record is from RNAcentral.
UACACUCCUGCGGGAGGCAGCAGUGGGGAAUAUUGGACAAUGGGCGCAAGCCUGAUCCAGCCAUGCCGCGUGAGUGAUGAAGGCCCUAGGGUUGUAAAGCUCUUUCACCGGUGAAGAUAAUGACGGUAACCGGAGAAGAAGCCCCGGCUAACUUCGUGCCAGCAGCCGCGGUAAUACGAAGGGGGCUAGCGUUGUUCGGAUUUACUGGGCGUAAAGCGCACGUAGGCGGACUAUUAAGUCAGGGGUGAAAUCCCGGGGCUCAACCCCGGAACUGCCUUUGAUACUGGUAGUCUUGAGUUCGAGAGAGGUGAGUGGAAUUCCGAGUGUAGAGGUGAAAUUCGUAGAUAUUCGGAGGAACACCAGUGGCGAAGGCGGCUCACUGGCUCGAUACUGACGCUGAGGUGCGAAAGCGUGGGGAGCAAACAGGAUUAGAAACCCGAGUAGUCCCAUGA